GACGAACUCUGGCGGCGUGCUUAACACAUGCAAGUCGAACGGAAAGGCCCUGCUUUUGUGGGGUGCUCGAGUGGCGAACGGGUGAGUAACACGUGAGUAACCUGCCCUUGACUUUGGGAUAACUUCAGGAAACUGGGGCUAAUACCGGAUAGGAGCUCCUGCUGCAUGGUGGGGGUUGGAAAGUUUCGGCGGUUGGGGAUGGACUCGCGGCUUAUCAGCUUGUUGGUGGGGUAGUGGCUUACCAAGGCUUUGACGGGUAGCCGGCCUGAGAGGGUGACCGGCCACAUUGGGACUGAGAUACGGCCCAGACUCCUACGGGAGGCAGCAGUGGGGAAUAUUGCACAAUGGGCGGAAGCCUGAUGCAGCAACGCCGCGUGCGGGAUGACGGCCUUCGGGUUGUAAACCGCUUUCGCCUGUGACGAAGCGUGAGUGACGGUAAUGGGUAAAGAAGCACCGGCUAACUACGUG
RNAcentral lists this ribosomal RNA (468 nucleotides) under uncultured bacterium. RNAcentral describes it as "partial 16S ribosomal RNA". It matches the Rfam family "Bacterial small subunit ribosomal RNA", at positions 28 to 507 of the family's 1533-position model. The record is from RNAcentral.